UUACAACAUAUACAAACUGAGUAAUUUUGAAUUCCAGUUAAGUAAUUAGUCCAGGCUUUGGAGACGUAUUUGUAAAUGAUGGGCACCUCUUAGAUGAAAAUUCUUCAUAUGGCUAGCAGUUAAGAACUGGUGCUUGGACAGCUGACAGGUUAGCCAAAGGGGGUUUGCCCCAUCCUGCUUCAUGCCCUCUUCGCGACCAGGCAGAAGAAACUAUUCAACACACCCUUGUUAGUUGUGUGUUUGUGCAAUAGGUGUGGACAAUUAUUCUAAUUAGAUUGGGACUUCUAGCUAUUCCUCCUCAGCCAGGAGUGACCCAUUUCUCUAACUAGGUGCAAAGCAAACAAGGGGUUUGAUAAAAAGAUGAGAAAGGGGCUGAAUUCUUUGAUUAUCCUGGUCGCUUGGGAAAUCUGGAAGCAUCGCAAUGUUGCCAAUGUAUGUGUGUUUGAAGGAGCUUCUCCUAAUGUCCAAGAGGUUUUACAUGCAGUGACAAUCGAAGGUUUUUUAUGGUGUAUGUCUGGAACCUCUGCUCUUGAAGAACUGCUCCUUCAGUCGCUAAUCACAUAGCUAUGAGCUUCUGUGUGUUUCCUUGGCCCUGGUCAUGUAGUCCUUGUUCACAGUAAUUCUUGUACUGUUGGUGUUUGUGGUGUCCGGGAGCCUUUCUCCCCUGUAUUAGGAGUGGACUCUUGUCCCUCUGAUGUAAUUUUUUUCUUCUUAAUGUGACACGCUGUUCUCUUGCGUUGCUCGAGAAAAAAAAUAGUCCAGGCGUAAUAGUUGGAUUUUUUUUUUUGAAAUUGGCCUAAUAGUUGGAUUUGGGUUACAACAUACACAAACUGAGUAAAAUUGAAUUCCAGUUAAGUAAUUAGUCCAGGCCUCAUAUUUGGAUUUGAUUUGGGUUUAUCUUCAGAUAUCACAAUUAGAUGUGAAUAUACGAUUAGGUGCUGCACAAGCAUUAAUUAAACGGUUGAGAAAUAAUAGGUAGGACAUUAUUCUCUUUUUCCUGCUCUGAUUGACUUGUUUUUGCUCGAAAAGAAAAAUUGCCAAUUUGGUCUGGAUGUCAACUACACGUCAGCUCGAUUAGGCUCAGCGUGUUAACCUGGUAACUAAAUUACUUCUGAAUGAAAAGUAAGAUGAUCGAUGAUCACUAAUCAGAAUAUUCUGAAUUUGAGCAAUGCUCGUCCAAAAACUGUUAGCUUGAUAGCCACCCCUUAUACUCAAGCUAUCAACCACUAUUUAGUUCAUUUCACAUGUACAUCCCUUAGGUUUCACGAGAACAGUCUAAUUUUGCAACCUAACAUGAUUCUCACCAUUAUAUCUCAGGUUGGCAGUAUCAACCAUCAAUUCCAACAAUACAAUACUUUCUAGAGGAUGCACUGAUAUGCAUCACUAAGCUGGAUCGGAAGAAACUGUGCUUGGUUGGUGCAGGCAGGACUGAUACAGGUGUUCAUGCAUGGGGUCAGGUUUAAUAAACAUACUACAUAACUGUAAACUGAAGCUUAAAUUGAUAUCUAUCAUCUGGUUUGCGCAUCCUGCACUGUUAAAUGUCAAUGUUAUGUUUUAUAUGAAAUGCUGGGGGAUUAUACUUAUCCUAUUUGUUGUUUUCAGGUGGCACAUUUUACUACACCCUUCAGUUACUGUUGCCUCAAUAGUAUUCAUUCUGCAAUGAAUGGAUUACUUCCUCCAGAGAUUCGAGUCAGGGAAAUUAGCGCAGCACGUCCUGAAUUCCAUGCUCGCACAUCCACAAAGAGCAAAGUCUAUCGCUACAAGAUCUAUAAUGAAGCAAUCAUGGAUCCCUUUCAUAAUCGCUAUGCUUAUCAUAGUGCUUAUAAACUUAAUCCCCAUGCCAUGCAGGAGGCUGCAAAUUAUUUUGUUGGAACCCAUGACUUCACAUCCUUUGCUAAUGCUGCACAUAAUGAUCGUGAGCGCAGAUCCACAAAGAAGAUAACACGUUUUGAUGUUACUGAAAUGGUAAUUGAUUUCCAAACCAAAAUAAUAUGUUUUUGGUACUUCUGUUUUUUAGUGUGCUGUUCUUUUCAUAUUGGUGGGCUUCCAUUUGGUGUUGGUUGACAUGUUCUUUUUUGUUUGUAUACUCUACAGGGUGCUGUCCUACAGCUUGAGGUUGAAGGCACCGGUUUUCUGUACAGACAAGUGAGGAACAUGGUAAGUUCAACGUCAUGUGUAAAUGGCUAUUUCAAAUUUAGCUUCUUUCCGGUUUACAUAUUUAUACCUUGUUAUCAUUUUUGCGAGUCCUCCAUUGUCCUAAAUCAUAAUGUGUGCUCCCACAUUUAUUUAUCUUAGAUGCAUGGGAAAAACAAUACUGAACCCAUUUAUAGCAAACUUGUUUAUAUUUUUAUUUUCCCUACACGUAAUAGUUGAAAUUUGAAAUCAAUUAUGAAAUCGCCUUCAUACUUCUGCAUUAUUGUAGUCAUAAUGUAAGUGGAAAACUAGUUAUAUCUCCAUCUACUUCAAUGUUGGUCAAUAAGCCUUUAGCCUUUUGUAGGAAUGAAAAUUGGCUAUCAUACAUGGUCAACAUGUUUUGAAAAUUGGCACCCCAUUACUUUGAAGCUCUACUAGGAAGCUACAAGGAUUCAUGUUAUGGUGGUGGCUAGGGUUGAGAGGGAGAGAUGUGGGGGGCGGCCGCGGCCAAACAAGAGAGAAGGUUUCCUUCUAAUUCCUGUUUUUUCUAAUCAUCCUUAUUACAGGGAAACAAAUAGGCUCUCGGCCUCUAAACUUAGGAAAGAAACUCCUAGAAUUAAGGACUAGAUUGACCAUGUAACACUCCUAGACGCGUCCCUCCAUCAGACAUGGUCACACCUAUUUUUAGGCCUGGAUCAGCCAUGCAGCACCUCAGCCAGGCCCUUCAGUCAGAAGCUGUCAUUGUGUUGACUGGCCAUGCAACCUUCCUCAGCCACGCGCCCACGCCCUCCUUCAGAUGCCAUCCCCGCGGCCCAUGACAUACACCUCUAACACUUAUCGCGAGUCCAGCCAGCCCAGCCCAGCAGGCCUGCUAGGGUGACGACCUUAUGACAACCCUGCUCGACGAGUUCGCCACCAUCUUGCCGACUCGACCGGCAUGCUGCUGCCACGCUCUAGGGACCACUGCAUCAACCUGGUUCCGGGGUUAGCGCCGGUGGCUGUGCGCCCCUAUCGCUACCCCGCCUCCCACAAAGCAUAGUCCUUCGGUGUUUUCCUCGCUGGUCCUGCUGGUCAAGAAGGCCAAUGGCACAUGGCGUUUCUGCAUCGACUAACGCGCCCUCAAUGCCAUCACUGUCAAGGACGCGUUUCCCAUCCAGGUGGUCAACGAACUUCUCGAAGAGCUGAGCGGUGCCCGUUUCUUCACCAAGCUGGACCUCCGCUCUGGCACCACCAGGUCUGCAUGAACACCGCCAAUGUGGCCAAGAUAGCGACCUCUACAAGUUCCUGGUCAUGCCGUUCAGGUAGUGCAACGCCCUGGCCACCUUUCCAGGCGCUGCACAACCCGAAUGGAAUGACCAUGAACUCGUAGAGGCCGUCAUGUGUUCGACAUCGGUGGUGUUCAUGCGGACCUGGUGGCAGUUGGAGCGGAGGUCUAGUUUGGUGAAGAAAUGGGCACCGUGCAGCUCGUCGAGAAGUUCGUAGACCACCGGGAUGGGAAACACGUCCUUGACGGUGAUGGCAUUGAGGGCGCAGUAGUCGAUGCAAAACACCACGUGUCGUCAGCCUUCUUGACUAGCAGGACUGGCAAGGAAAACGCUGAAGUGCUGCGCCGGAUCAGCCCUUGGGACAACAUGGAGGAGCGUUGGCCGGCCAGGGGCCUUGCCGAUGACCGAGCAAGAGAGAUUCUGAUCAUCCUUAUUAAGGGAAAUAAAUAGGCUCUCAGCCUCUAAACUAAGAAACGCCUAGAUUGGCCAUGCAACACUCCCAGCUGCGUCCCUCCAUCACACGCGGUCACACCUAUUUUUAGGCCUGGAUCAGCCAUGCAGCACCUCAGCCGUGCCCUUUAAUCAGACACGGUCCUUGCGUGGACUGGACAUGCAGCCUUCCUCAGCCGUGCCCUCCUUCAGACGCGGUCCUCACAACGCAUGACAUAAGCCUCUAACAAUUCAAAUAUAGCCUGAACUUAGCAAAUUCUAGUUACUCCACCAGUGAGUAUAAUGGACAUCACAGUACUGGACGACAUGGCAGAAUAAAAAUGUGUGCAAUCUUUUUUUUAAAAAAAAGUUUGAGGGCUUCCACAUCUGUUAAAUUGUUUAUUUGCACCAAAUGCAAUAUUUAGUGCAUUCAGCGUUUCUGUUUGACACAAAUCAUCUCUACGAGAAGCUGUAAAACUUUUUUUUUUCACACCCACACCCAUGGAGUAUGAUGUAUUGUAUGAUGCAGGUUGCUUUGCUGCUUCAAGUCGGAAAGGAAGCACUGCCUCCUGAUAUCGUUCCAGCGAUCAUUGCGGUCAGGGACCGCAAAGAACUGGCGAAGGUGGCCUUGUCAGCGCCACCACAUGGAUUGUGUCUCAUGUCGGUUAACUAUGACGAGGAAAUCCUCAAGCCUCCUGAAGGUUCUCCUCCAGUUUCCUUUGGCAGAACUCACCAUCUUAGUAAAUGCAAACUUCCGUUUUAUUAAUUUGUUACAGAUGAAUUGUCUUCCAGAGAUCUAUCGUUUUUUUAGUUUCCCUUGCCUCCUAGAAUUUUCUUGCUUCACAACUGUCAAUUGUAGGCCCUUAUGGCCUGCUAGUUUUUGCGAAGGUAUUGAAAUACUUUCUUUAUACUCGCAUUGUAAAUUAUAAGUCAUUCUAACUUUCUUAGAGUCAAAGCAUGUUAAAUUUAACUAAAAUUAUAGAAAGGAUUAUAAAGAUUUAUGAUAUCAAAUAAGCAAUACUAAAAAUAUAAUUAAUAAAAAAUAUAACGAUACUUAUUUGAUAUCAUAAAUAUUAUUAUUUUAUUAUAUAAAUUUGGUUAAAUUUAAUAUGUUUUGACUCUCUAGGAAAGUUGAAUGACUAUAAUUUGAGAUGAGUGAGUACUAUACUACAGCCUGAAGCAAUUGUUUAUUCAGCCGAACGUGCCCCCUGAACUAGUUGCUCUCCCAUGCGUUGUCACGGAAACUGGAAAUAUUGAACGCAAUAAGUGGUGCAUGAAAGAACACAUAUAGGGUGUUUGGUUCGAGUAUAAUGAGGUAGUCUAUCAUUUACUUGCUCCUCAUUUGUUUUGUUUUGUUUGAGCAUCUUCAAAAGAUUAGCUAAAAAUAUUUUCCAUAUCUCUAAACUUAUCUAUUCUGUACAAUAAAACACCCACAAAAAAACUAGACUAAUCCAACAGCCUUUGUAAAAAAAAAAGUCCAUUCUUGCUAUUUAAAUCUGCCACAUGGGACAACCAUCUUUGGAGUCCAGAGCAGCACUGGCAAUGCACGUUUGUGCGGGGAAUGAUGCACCGUGUGGGAAAAGGUUGGAUAGCUAGCGACUCUCAUCGUCCAAAUCUGGCUACCGAAUUUCCAGGUAUAGACAGCGACAAAAUUUAGAGGGACGUUUACAUAAUCUGUUGGAGUUGUUUUUUUUUUGUCAAUAAUAGCUAUAUUUAGGCCGUGUUUAGUUUCUGACGCGAAAAAUUUCGUGACACUGUAGCACUUUCGUUUAUUUGCGAUAAUUAUUGUCCAACCAUGGACUAACUGGGUUCAAAAGAUUCGUCUCGUAAAUUUCGAACAAAUUGUGCAAUUAGUUUUUAUUUUCUUAUAUAUUUAAUACUCUAUGCAUGCGUCUAAAGAUUCGAUGUGACGGAGAAUCUUGAAAAAAAUUUUAUGUUUUGGUGUGGAAGUAAACAAGACCUUAGCUUUACAAAAUGUUUUAGCCAAUCUUUUGAAGAUGCUCUUAUUUCGUUAAAUUUGAAGAAUAGACUUAUGAUGUACCAUCUCGUGUAGGAUUGUUUGAUUUCUCAAAUAAAACAACCCUAUUAGUGUUUGAGAAUACUAGCAAAAUGUUGUUCGUAAUGGCUACAAUCAGUUAUAGUGAAAGGUUUUAUGUCUCAAUUUUAAUGACGAGACACUAAUAGAAACUGAAUAGUACUCCCUCUGUUCUGAAAGCUUCAACUCCUAGAAUCUGUGCCAGUCAAACUUGUUUAACUUUGAUCAACUUUAUAGAAAAGAGCAUCAAUAUCUAUGACAUAAAAUGAGAAUCUUAUGAAAAUAUAUUCGAUGAUAAAUCUAAUGAUAUUAAUUUGGUACUAUAAAUUUUAGCGUUAUUUUAUAAAUUUAGUUAAAGUUUUAAAAGUUUGACUUAAAACAACUCUAGAAAUUGCAACUUUAUGAAAUAGGCUCUCCCAACGCUGAAGGAAGUAGGGACUCGAGUGGGUGAGCCCCUCCAAAUAGACAGCUCUUCAGGAAUGAUCUCGUCAAGAUUAGAGUAGGCAUUACUAGCUGUCUUAGACAGUUAACAUAGCCAGCUUGUCCUUUGGCACGGAAAGUUAGAAUAGCUGCCUUGUCUUUUCAUGUCAUUAUUUUUCUUUCAUUCAAAUUAUAAAAAAAAGCUAAAAGAAAAAGGAUAGCGAAUGCUCGAUUCACCAAUUAUCCUUAAAAGGAGGGGAUAUUAUGAUAAUAGCGGCGGAUUCAAGAACUUAAUGAAAAAAAGACAUUCUUUCACUGGACCAUUUUACCUUGUAUAUAUGUUUGCCCCUUGGAUGAAUGCAAAACAGAAGUUCUACCAAUUCAUUAUUCUAUACAUUUCAUACUUUAACAAAAAAAGAACGGAGUUUGGGCUAGCAAACGAUGGACCUUCUGGGCUGCAUGUGUCUGCUUUUGGGGGCCCUAGAUAUUACGUGCAUGUACAGUUACGCAGGCCACACAUUAGGGAUGUGAGGCCAUGUGCCAAAAAAACACAGCUCCCGCACCAGCCCGGUAGACACUUUUAAAAUGUUUUUUUUUUCUCGAAUACAUAAAGAAUUUGCCGUAUCAUUGUAAUAAUUAAAAAAAAGUUUAAGCAUACAAAAGACGCGCUUCUAAUGAGCAUCCUAGGAAGUCUUACAGCUGAGGCUAGACCAUCCUAGUGUACUGUCUCGAACUUUUUUAAAUGGUUUUGGGAAGUUGCUCUGUUUUUGAAAUUUGAAAUUGAAUGAAGUGAACCUUCUAGUUUUUCUGCCGAUUGUAUUUUUUUUUAAAAAAAAUUCUAGACUAGACGAUCAAUAAGCAACGACAAUGUUGGAGAGCCAGCGACAACAAAGACCACAACUAUAACAACAAAGAAAGCAAGCUAGAAUGUUCAAUACUGCAACAACAACAACCUUCUAGUUUUUCUGGUGCGAAAGGAGAAAUUAUAUUAAGAAAUAGUAGCACAUUACAUCUCCAAUCUUACAUAAAACACCCUUGUAAAAUUAGAAAUUACACGCAACAUCCAAAAAACCUGAAUGCUUUUGUUAUCGUCGCUUGAACUUCGUCCAUCGGAAGCGUCUGCAAAAGAUGAAGCUAAGAUCCACCUUCUAGCCUCACAAGGGGCACCAAACCUUAGAUUUGUCGCAAGAGUGAGCACCUAGAAACUCCACCAAAAUGCAUCAAUGAUGCUAAACGAGCAUCAAUCGCCAACAUUUGAAGAAAAGAAGAGGAAGAGAGAUCCACCACCGCCGACUAUGAGACAGACAACCAUAAGAUUAUUUUAUCGUUGCCAAUAUUGUCGACAACACGAACAAGGGAUCCAAAAAAAAAAUGCCGAAAGCGCUCACACCUUCACAAAUACACAAUGGAAGGAAAGCCUUACUCUUCCUCCGGCGAUAGAGAUAGAGCACGCAAGAUGCCCCACAACAACCUAUGCUGAAGUCCUCCACGUGAUUGUCGGCGUUGAAGCGAAGGUAGCAAAUAAAACACUCAUGUAGCAUCACUGCCAUGGGUCGAUUGAACCCUAACCUACCUAAUAAAAACCUAGUAGCACCGGGUACGUGCAUCGACCAUCGAAAUUGAGGUCCUCCCACCCUCCAGCAUCCAAGAGGACACCAAAGGCAAGGCGGAGCUGCUGAUAUCGACGCUAGAAAGCAAGGACGGAUCGAGCACUGGGCCUAGGUAGGCUUGAGCCCCCUGCACCCACUGAUCGGAGAGGGGCUCCUAAGCUCAUUCUACAAAUUUAUAUUUAUUCAAGCUUGGAAGGAAAUGCUAAGGAUAAAAAGUUAUAAGAUAAGCUCCUCCUUGCUUACUUUUCUAGAUCCACCGCUACUAGAAAGUAACUCGCUCUCGUUUUGUCCUCUUCUACUGUAGUCUGUAGCAAGAGGAAAAUGAGUCGAGAAAAAAAGGAUUGAUCUACCGCAAGAUAAACAUCUCUUUGACAACCUUCUAGUUUUAAAACCAUUGUAUUAUUAAAACAAGUUUUUUAGAGCUUAAGAAACCCCAUUUGAGAAUUUUCUUUUCUAAGCUAUGGUUUUGCACAAUAUUUAUCUUGUAAACUAUACUUUCUUACAUCAUAGUUUUUUAAUACUGUAACUUGUAGGCUAUAUCUUGUAUUAAAAUAUUGUUUCACGUGGACUGCUCUGGCAAAUCCAGAACAUUGUUUCAACUGAUUGGGUUGCGACCAAAUGAAUUUUGAUUAUCCAAAUUAACUUUUAAGAUAGUCAUAUACUUAUUAAUUUUUAUAGACACUAUGUAUAAAAAUCAUAGUUUCAACGGAUAGUGUGUAUAAAAGAAUUCUUUAUCCAAUCACAUGUUUUUCUCUCUCUACAUUAGUUAGCAAUCACAUUCCUUCGUGUCUUGUUCUCGUGUAGGUUAUGAUUUUUGCUCUCUCUUUCUUCGAUAACUAUUUUACCACAUCAGCAAAUACUAAUUAAUAUUUAUAGAAAAUAUAAUAGUUUAUACAUUGGAAGUGCCCUUAUAACAAAUGGGUUACCCUAUAGAAAUCUCGACUGCCAACUUGGCUCAUUUUUCAAGAAUAACAAAACACAAGAUCUCCUUAGAAAAAAGAUAUUCAUACAAUAAAGUUAAUUAACUAAUCUUUCUUUGUAGAUAGUUAAUCACGACUCUGGUUGUACAGUAGUAAUAAUCGGUUAACCAAAACCCUGAAGGCUGCAGCUGCAAGUGUAGUUUGAUAAAACUCUGGAUCCGUGCACCCACUCCAGGCGUGUCCGGUCCUGUCAAUCCGUCAGUCGCAUUCGCCUUCGCGCUCGCCCCAGCUCAGUCCCUUCCCUCCAGAACCGAGAUCCACCACCGCGCACCUCCACGGCUCGGCCGGCGCUCCGUCACUCGCGAUGGCCGGCCGCCCGCGCCCGCAGACGGAGCUGCACUCGCCGUCCGCCUCCACUCGGCGGCGCGAGCGGUGGCUGGUCGUACUCGGCGUCGCUCUCCACGCCGUGUACAUGCUCAGCAUCUUCGACAUCUACUUCAAGUCCCCCAUCGUGCACGGCAUGGAUCCCGUGCCGCCCCGCCUCUCGGCGGCCCCCGCCAAGCGCCUCGUCCUCCUCGUCGGUGUGUCCCCUUGAUCCUCCGAUCCCGUCUCAUUAAGCUUCGGCUCGAUGUUGGGUGUGUAAUUUGGCUGGGGGGUUUUUGGUGCGUGCAGCGGACGGGCUCAGGGCGGACAAGUUCUUCGAGCCGGACGAGCGGGGUAGGUACAGAGCGCCGUUCCUGCGCGGCGUGAUUGAGGAGAAGGGCCGAUGGGGAGUCAGCCACGCCCGCCCGCCCACCGAGUCCAGGCCCGGCCAUGUCUCCCUCAUCGCUGGCUUCUACGAGGACCCCAGUGCUGUCACCAAAGGUGCGCUGCCCCGGUGCUAGUUCUAGUGUACCACUGCAGACUGUUCGUGAUUCAACUUGAUGCAAUGUUUUCACAAGCCAUUCAGUUUACUUUAAUUUUAAAGUAUGCUGCACUUUUAAUGUGUAAUUGCAUUGCUCUGCCAUUUUUAGUAGUUGUUGCUACUGAACUAGUAUUAGCGGUACUCGUACCCUCAUGGUUGUUAACCAAAAAACAUGUACUGAAUUAUAGUGCUUAGUGCUAGUAUUUUGUAGCUGAGAGAAAUGUGUAUAACUGACAUCCAGCACAUGGUUAAUAUUGCUUAGUUAAAGUAAACAAGUGCUAUACUAUGCCCUAUAGUAAAAUAAUGAGUAUUGUAUUUGGCAGGAUGGAAGGCCAAUCCAGUUGAGUUUGAUUCUGUAUUCAAUCAGAGUCGGCACACUAUCUCAUUUGGAAGUCCAGAUAUUGUUCCUAUAUUCUGCAGUAACCUAGCUCACAGUACCUGGGGCACUUAUCCCCAUGAAUAUGAAGACUUUGCAACAGGUCAGAUUUAUUGGCAGUACAUGUAGCUUCCUGAAGCUUAAGCCAUUAUUAUGAUAUUGUAUUUUUGUAACUGCCUUACCAGUACUGUCGUAUUCAUGGAAUCACAUUAUGCUUUUCUCAAUGGACUAGAUAACUUUGUGAUUUCUCGUACUGCACAUCCUUUCUUUCUGAAAUAUUGAUAUUAGUCUAAAAGUUCAUCUUGCAGAAGGAUUAUAUAUAUAAAUUAUCUUUGAAAUCAUUUUCUUACUCUUGGUCUGAGUUUUGUUUACCACAAACCACAACUGCUAUAAUGAAUUUUACAUAUGUGCAGGUUAAUUCGUAACUAAUAAAUCUGUUCUGAGACAAAUUGUAUAAAUACGUCUAUUUCCUCUUUAGAUACAUGAAGAAUGUGCCCUUCUUCAAAGAAAACAUUAUUGACUCAACAUCACAGAGUCUAAAUAAUCAAUCCUCUGCUUUUGCAAUUUAUUUUCCUUUUGGAAUCAUGUUUUUUACUUUGUCAGAGACCUUGAUUGCAGAUGCAUCAUUUCUGGAUCAUUGGUCAUUUGACCAGUUUCAAGGUCUUAUCAACAGGUCUUUUGACGAUGUUAAAUUGAGGCAGUUACUCCUACAAGAUAAGUUGGUUAUAUUUCUGCACUUGCUGGGUUGUGAUACCAAUGGCCAUGCGCACCGACCCUAUUCAAGCAUCUAUCUGAACAAUGUCAAGGUUGUUGAUCAAAUAGCUGAAAGUAUGUACAAUCUCAUGGAGAACUACUUCAAUGACAAUCAAACAGCAUAUGUGUUUACUGCAGAUCAUGGAAUGAGUGACAAAGGUAAGUUAUACACCAAAUGGUUUCACAAAUAUAUUUUUUGCUGCUCAUGUUUAUAUAGUUCAGGAUAUUGUAGGCAAUUGACUGGUUAUGUUUUUCUAGGAGAGAGUGGCAUCUCUGAUGUCACCACAGGAAACUGUAAACCUGAUGACUUCAAACAUUCAAAUUUUAAUUUGAAAGUUUGGAAUUAAAUUAGAUUUGAAUACUACCAUAUAGUAUAGUACCAUUCCCCAUACCUAUGUCUUCCCACCUUGACAACGACGAUCGUCAAUGAGGGAAAUGAGGGUUGCAGUGGGGUAUGAGGCCCCGUUGGUCUUCUUAGCCCGGGUGGAUGGAUGAGCUAGCACUUUGGUGUUCCAUCACAAAUCUUAGUACCAUGUAAUCACUAUAAGUACACUUCUGUAAGUCUGCCUGGCCUGAUUGUGUGUUCUCCACCUCUUUGGUAAUUCCUGGUAUCUUGCCUGUGGGCUGCCAAAGCCCUGUGAAACUCUUACCUCUUAAUGAAACACAUUCAUGGAUGUUCACAAAUCUUCCCACAUUAGCAAAAAUACAGAAAGGAAAAGAAGACUGUUCCACUGCAAAUCUAUGCAUAUAGAUGUGGAAAGUAUCCCCUCAGAGGCUGCCCAAAUUGAAUGGCUUAUUGGUUGCAGUAACUCAAUCUGGAUUGCACAAUGAGUUAGUUGCAUUGCCUACCUAUAAGGUUACACAUUUUAUGCUCCGUAGCGCCUAGGCAGCCACAUUCUUUGGUUGUAUUUGACAAAUCCAAUCCUGACAUGUAAUGCUUUCUACCAUACUAAAUUUAGUUGGACACUUGCACUUUAUGAUUUAUGCAAUGCUGUCUUGGGUCAAUCACAAGGAUGAGGGUCAUUGACCCAUUAGGCUAUUACUAGUUGCAAAGGCUUCAUUUUUAUUGAUUAAUUUUGUAGUAUAUUAGGUUAGUACUCAUAUUACUCCUUUAUUAUGAUGCCAAAAUGAUAAAGCACUGCUACCUACAGGAAGCCAUGGAGACGGACACCCUUCAAAUACAGAUACUCCUCUUGUAGCAUGGGGUGCUGGAAUUAGAAGCCCAAAGUUCCUGGCUUAUACAGAGAAACCUGAUGACGGCUUUCGGUUUGUAGAUGACCACAAACAUGAUACACCCACUCCAAAAGACUGGGCCCUUGAAGGUUUUGAAAGAGUAGAUGUCAACCAGGCUGACAUAGCUCCCCUAAUGGUGGCUUGAAAAUCUCCUUGUGCAACCAUAUAUUCAGUUCUUCAGUUGCAUUUAGUUUUCUCAAGUAAACCCUUUUUAUUUUCACAAUUCUUCACAACUUUUGCAGGCUACACUUGUGGGUUUGCCAUGCCCGAUGAAUUCUGUGGGGAGCUUACCUACUCCUUAUUUGAAACUAAGCAAGGUCAGACAAUAACUGUAUGCUACGCAAAAAAUAUAUUGUGCUUGGCUGAACACUGCUUGUUAAAGUUUGUUCCCUAUAUUUACACAGGCUGAUGAAGUUGAAGCUGUUCUGGCCAAUACAAAGCAAAUUCUUAACCAGUUUCUCCGAAAGUCACGUAUCCUUUCAAAACACAUUUUGCUACAUACUUGAACUUCAAAAUUUUCCUACUCCAUGCUUAUAAGCUUGUAGUGUGGUAGUGUGACUGGGUGCUAGAGGCAUCAUUGUUGAUCUAUUAUUGGAGUCACCCAUUACAGUAGGCUACUCCAUGCUAUGAGCUAUGAAUCUCAUCAUGUCAUUCAAUUUCCUUUUUUUUUCCUAAUGCAAAUUUAUGACGACCAAGACUACCAAAUUAAACAAUAAAUCAUACUGUUACUCCCAAGCAUGUCUUCCCUUAUCGAUCUCAGAGCUGAAGGAAUCCAGUUCACUCUACUUCAAACCUUUUAAACCACUGGCAAACUUUUCUUUAGUGCUCAGUCAGAUUGAGGAUCUUAUAUCUGGAAGGGACUAUGAAACUGCCAUGGAGCAAUCUGAGGAGCUCCGAAGGCUGGCUCUUGCUGGUCUUCAUUAUUUCCAAACAUAUGAUUGGUUCAUGUUAAUGACUACAAUUACCCUUGGAUAUAUUGGAUGGAUGGUGAACCUCAUUAUACAUGUGUUACAGUCUUAUACAUCAUUUCCUGCAAUUCUUCUCAAGAGGGCUCAAUUGUAUCCUAAGAAUACCUCCAUGAAAGUAUGGUAGCUUUCCACUCUCUCCGUAUUAAAUUUAUGUCUAUUUUUUUAUGUGUUACAAAAUCAUAUUCUUCUGUUUCCGUUUUACUCAAUCUAGAUUGCAGCGAAUAUGUUUUUUUGUUCAAACUCAUUAUGUUUUCCUGUUUCCAUUUUUCCCAGUUUCUCUUUUCCCUUUGCAGAACUGAUACUGUAUAAUUCAAAGGCUUGGUUCUGCAUAUAGAGUGUAGAUUGGAUAGAAUUACUGCUGCAUACUAUUCAUUUUUGUGCAAUCAAAGUUGCUCAUCAAAAUUUGACAACUACUCGAUUAAUUUCAUGCUGAUCUGCAUGGUCACAUAGUUAAGACAAUUUGAUUUUAUCUCCUCUGGUUGCAGGUUUACAUUGGUGGAUGCUUCUUUAUGGGUUUGUCAUCCAUUAUACUACUUCUAGAGAAAUCACCACUUCUUUACCAUGCUUAUGUAUUUAUGACAAUAUUCCUUUGGACAAGAAUUGUACAAAACUUUGAAUUUUUGAAGGCCGUAUGGAGAGAAAUAGCUAAUAUGCCCUUCAAGUACAUUCUUAAUCUCCUGACAAGUUCAGUUGUUGCACUGCUUGUAUUGGAGUUUCUGGUAUGUACCCACUUGUUGACACAUCAAUCAUUUUAAGACUCCAUGAGAUUUGAUGUGAAAUUUGAUACUUGUGGGCAGGUUAUGAGCUUCUUUGAUAGGAAAAUUUACACUUGGUGCUUCUUGGUCCUCGGGAUACUCGGUUCAACUUAUGUAGCUUUGUUUAUUCAAGCUAGCCCUGCACUUGCGAUAUACAUAUGGCUUGCUUGCUGGUUCCUGUCCGUAUUCACUUUGAUGCCAGCUGAAAUUCCAGAAAACAACAACUUGGUGUAUGUUUCUUUCGCUGACAGUAUUCAUGCAUUUUUCCCCUUACAAUAAUUAAGAACAAGCUGUUACAUAUAUAUAGUAAUAUUGUUUAAUGCUGUUACGUGUCAUUCAUUCUUAAGAAGCAGCUAGCCAUCUAGAUGCUAUCAAAUAUUGUCUAAUUGGUUGUUUCCUUGCAGCUUUUAGUCUGAUGAAUUCUUUAUAUGCAGAAUAUUUAGUGGAGGGCUCAUAAUACUUAUUGGAUUAGCUUCAAGAUGGAUUAAAUCGAAUACUUCCAGCUUUUGGCUAUAUCUCACUCGAGCAAAUAAACGGGAUCCUCAAUCCUUUAAACUGUACUUUGUUCAGGUGCAGAACUCAAAUAGUUAUAUCCUGUGGUUGGCAUUUAUUUCUUGGAAGUUCAAGUUUGAGACAUUGUUUUCAACCGUUUAUCAUGUUUUAGGUUAUUUUAGUUGCAAUAUCUUCGAUAAUGGUGUGGCUAUCUACCUCACAUCGGUCCCAGAACAGAGAAUUGCACUCACUGCACCAGUUGAUCAAUUGGUCCGUAGCUGGUAAGUCACUCGAUUUGUUAUUUGUGCUGUUUGUCUACAGUGUCAUUGGAUCCUCUCUUUCAAUUUUAUGGUGAUGUCUGAUUUGUUUAUACACCGUGUAUUCUACUAUAAAGCAACAACCUAUGAGUCUAAACCCUACAGGCCUACACACAACUAGCUUUUGUAUGUAGUAUGUCUACAUACACAUGCUUAUCUUUGCACCAAUCUAAGGGUCUGGUGAAGCUUACUUGUCUUAUGUUUUGGUUCUUGACCUGUUUUUGGUUUUAACACUUCUUGUGUUGUCUUGUUCACAAAUAAAUCUUGUCCAAGUGGGUUUUACAGACCCACUGGGCCAGAAGCUACUCAAGCCCAGACAUUUACUUUUCUACUUAGAGGCCUCUGCGUCUUGGAACAAAUGUAGGGUCUGCCCAAGGACUCAUGGGCUUAGGUAAAUAUUUAAUGCAUUCCCCAAGGAGAGAGGUUAUUUUUUGGAGGGAAACUAUGUGUUUUGCGACUUUGUGCUCCGUGGUUAGGACCUCUAAGGAGCACCAAUGGUUGGACUUGAGUGGCAAGAAUGACGAUGGGUCUUAUUUGGCAAUUUUUGAACUGCGGGCUUGAUUUAAUCCUUUGUUUGGGCAUAAAAAACUCACAGUAUUGAGUAAUAGCUCUUUCAAAAAGCAAUAUUGAGUGGUAGUAAAUAAAAUGAAUAAAAAAUAUUUAAGGUCCUUGAAAUGCUUUUCUUAUAUUCUUGAUGGAUCAUUCCCUUGUCAUCCUUGUGUACAUUUGUAGAUGGAGCUCUGGUUCUUUGCCUUUUGUUCUAUAAUGAAAUAUGUUGAUAAAGGUUGGUUACAGUACUCAAUACUGAUAACCAGAUUUUCUAAAACCAGCUCGGCUUCCACACAGCCAUUUUUCUGAAACCUUCUGAAUACUAUCAAUGGCCUGUAAAGUUAGUUGGCAUUAUUGUAAUAAAUAAAUGUAUCCUCCACUGAAUUAUGAAAAGGAUAGAAAAUAAUAAUUUUCCUAUCCUACAAUUCAUAGCCUCUUUUUUGUUACUGUUUUUUUAAUGGAAACAUAAAGUGAGCUGUACUGGCACACAUUCAGAGAAAUAACGAUGACGUGCGGUGGGCUCUGUCGGGUGUCCUUUAUGUGUAUGUGGGUUGCCAGGGUUUGUUGCCUGGGCUGUCGUGGUGAGUUUUUUUUUGCCAGUUUUCCUUCCAAGUCCUUUCUACUUAAUUGAAAGGCAGAGCUCCUGCCAUUGCGUUCAGAGAAAUAACAGUGCAGAGAAAAGAUGCAAAAUGGAAAAUUGGCCUGCUUCUGGCCUCUGGGGAAUAACUGUAAGCCUGUAACCCCAGGUGGAAACAUUCUAAACUUUAACAGGUCUACAUCAUUUUGGGGCUUUGUCCAUUGGAAAUCUUGUUGAGCCCUUUAAAUAUGACACAUUCUUUUUGAAGUCAAGCUCAAGCCUAGUGUUCAUCCUGUUUGAUUGUUCAUCCUGAACUUGUGUGCUUUUUGGUUCUACUGUUUUAAUGUGUCAUAUAUUUGGCAGGUGUUGCUAUGGUGCUACCUCUUUUCUCACCACCUAGUGUUCUAUCCCGUCUUACAUCUAUAUUCUUGGGUUUUGCUCCUCCAUUUCUGCUGCUUUCCAUUGGGUAUGAUGUUACCUUCUGCUGUAGUUUAUACAUCAAUUUCUUUUUGCUGUGCCUGAGCUCUUAACAUGAAAAUGACUGUUCAAAUUUUGUUAAAUCUUCACAGCUAUGAAGCAGUUUUCUAUAGUGCUUUUGCAAUGGUACUCAUUGGAUGGAUAUUUGUGGAAUCUGCCAACCUGUAUUGCUCAGAAGAAAGUGGUUCUGCACGUCGCAGAAGCAUUGCAGAUGACUCAGUUUUUGGCUAUGAAGAAAGACACUUACGACUAUCCGAUUUAAGAAUCCCUCUGUUAUUUGUAAGUCUAAUAAUUUCCAUUUGUCUUAUGGACUAUAGAGGUGCGGAAGCUCUUGGAUACGAUGCUUUAUUUUUAUAUUGCGGAGUAGGCAUUAGAUUGUGCUCAUUCACUCUAGAUAAUCCUCUAGGAUUAAUUAUGCAAAGGUGCUAAAUCAUUUGAAAUAGGGAUGGCCAAUGGAAGCUACUCCCUCUAUUCUGAUUUCGGAAGAAGUUUUGUAGAAUAUGUGAAGUCAGACUCAGAAUUUUAUGCACAAACCUAUUUAGUUUCACAAGUAAAUGAUAUUAUUAUGUUUAUAACAAAAAAAAAAUGCUUCCUGCUUCCAUAAUUCCAUAUGGUUAUACAUUCAAUAAUUUUGGAUAACAUGUAACAAGAAACUACGAUCAUUGCAUGUAUUGGAGACUCUUCCCGUGCUGCCAAUUUUUUCUGUUUUUUUACAUGAAAUACAGCAGGGGAGGCCCCCACUGUAAAACAAUCAACCCAAUUUUUUCUGUUCAGAAUGUAUUGCUAUCUUCAUACUUGCAUUAUAUUCCAUAUUUCCACUAUAUGCAUAUAUGUAUUUUGUUUGUAAACAUCCAAUCAUUUAUUAUCAAUAGAAACUAAGAGCACUUUUGUUGUAGUUUUAGUAGAAAACAUAUAGUGUAACUAAUGGUAUCUUUCUGUCUUGCAGGUGAUCUUAUUUAAUGUUGCCUUCUUUGGUACUGGUAAUUUUGCAAGUAUUGCAAGCUUUGAGAUCUCGUCUGUGUACAGAUUCAUUACAGUAUUUAGUGUAAGUUUAUGUUGCAUUUCUCUGAAUGACCUUUUUACUUAUUAUUAUUCUAGACACUAAUGUUUUUCUCUUUUCUCUUGGCAGCCAUUUCUUAUGGCAGGACUUCUUAUCUUUAAGUUGUUCAUUCCGUUCAUGCUCGUCAUGUAGGUUUUUCUUUAACCUUGCUAACCUUAUGCUAUGUGAUGUCAUGAAGUUAGAAAUUCUUGUCACAAAUUAGGUCAUCUUCUGCUAUAGUAGGAAGAUAAAAAGAGGCAGCAAUCCAUUUAUAAUUUAAUGUUGAUUUUGAUAUCUAUAUAGACUAUCUAUAUACUCUCUGCAUAGUUAUCUGUUGAGCAACUUUAAGAUUAAUCUGGGAGUUCCUGCUUAGGGUAACAAACGAUAACAAAUAAAUGUAAAGAAGAUGUGGUUUUCCCCCAAACGUUAGGUCUUUGGAGUUUGGACAUUUUUCUAUAACACCUUAGCUUAAUUAAGUAUUCUUUUAAUUUGCGAUGAACUUGAUGCCACUUUUCAUUAAGCUGACAUUGGUGACAACUGCAGAUGCACGUUUAGUGCGAUUACCAAAGUUGUCCGCAUCCCACGGCUGGGCUGCUAUUUCCUUGUAAUACUACUUUCAGAUGUGAUGACUAUUCAUUUCUUUUUCCUGGUAUGUACACCUUUUCCCUUCUAUAAUUCAAUAACCUAAUUUCAUGCAUUUUAUAUUUAAGAAAAAAAGACAUGAUCCAUGGCCUUGACCAUAUUUAGUAGCUAUGUAAUGUUCUUUCAAUUUUGUCCAUUAGUGGGUAAAUUUUGUUUGGUUUGCCAUGUCCUGGACGCGCCAUAGUUUGAUAUAUGCUAACAGAGUAAAGUAGCAAACUAGCUGUGGACUUCUGUCCAGAAGCUCAAAGGCUCUCUGUGACCAUUGGAAAAUUUGAAGCUGUAACUGCACCAAUUGUAUUGUAUUUCAUUUUCUGAUGACUACAUUAGCCUUAUGUAUUCGAUGUGGACUUCCUACUUCGACAAAAUAAUGUAAUGAGUAUUCCUGUUCAUUUUACCCACAGGUACGGAAUACCGGUAGUUGGAUGGAGAUUGGCAACAGCAUUAGCCAUUUCGGAAUAGUGAGCGCCCAAGUAGUCUUCGUUUUGCUGCUUUUUGCACUCACAAAUAUAUACACAAGAGAUAUUUUGGUCUCGUCUCGGCAACUAACUGCGCGGAAAGUUAUGUAAAUUGUUCAGUUUAUUUGGAGAUCAAAAUACAUUCAUCUUUUCCUUUAUUCAUUUCUGGGCCGGCCUUCUUUUUUGGCCCAAGUUUUGUAGCUUAGCUAUUGGCCGAAGUUUUGUAGCUUAGAUUUUGUAGUUUGUAGAUGGAAUUUUGUGUCAAAUUUUUGUGCUAGUUUCCUUUGCAUACCUACAGCCUGAACAGAUUUUACGUACAUCAUUAUAACUAUGUUAGUUCUUUUAGGGAGGUUAACUUGUUGAGUGAUUAUUACGCGAGGCAACAAAAUCUCAGGGUUGAAAUUGAUGAAGCAAUCACUCGAGCUUAAAAUUACACUCUGCACGCUCAACCAGCAUCACAAAGUCUGAUACGCAGCUAUACAGAGCUGUCACCACGGUGGAAAUCGGCGAUGGUGAGGAGACCUCUUUUUGGUACGACGCCUGGCAUAAUGAUGACGCCAAUGGCAGAUCGGUUUCCAGCCCUGCACAGCCAUUGUAAGAAGAAUAGUACGGUGGCGCAGGUCUCUUUGCUUUUGGAGUGCAGGAUACCCAGUUUGUGGUGCCACGACUCACCUCAGGGCUCAGGCGACUUCGGAAAUAACGGAGCUGGGCAGCAUCACUCAGUCUACUGCCCUCUCGGUCACCAGGGGACCGGCGCGGCGCCGUGGCCCCUUCUGGCCUACCGGCAAGGAAAGUUUGAAGGCAAAGUAUAGAGAAAAGCCACGUCCCUCCCCGGGUUCAGUUCUUUCUUUGGCUGCUGACACAGGAAAGGGUGCAAUGUAUGCAGGGUCAAUCUCCAUCUCUAAAGAUGAUCGUGGAUAGUCCCGACUUGCUGUUGCUGGGUGCCUUUCUGCUGAACUUUUCCGGUCCAAACUUGGGGAUCAGCAUGCCAACGGACACUAUCUACAACCGUCGCUUGAUCUUUAGGUACUUUGGUCGUCUGUUCCCCUUUGCUGUUGGCAACUAUGGCAGCGAAAGGAACGGCGUAAUCUUCAGAGAUGUUGCGGCUAACCUCCCUCAGACGCACCAUGGUAGGAGUUUGCAACGCUGAAGCAAAAGCUCUGGGCACAACGAUUGCCGAAGCGGGACAUGGGCAUAGGAGACGCUUGGUGUGCUAUAUAUGUUUUACUUCAGCAAUGUAGUAAUUCCGAUCAUCGUCUAUACAUCGCAGAUGUAAUGUUUAUCAGCUACUACUGAUAGGUUUUCUUCAACCAAGAUCAGUGAAAGAAUGACCGGUGGGCCGGGGGGGUUCACUAUGCCAGCCACAGCUGAUAGGGCCCCCGAUCAGGAUCCCAACGGCUUAUUAGUCCAGCAACCAUGCGGUCCGCCCGUUCGUUAUCAUCCAUCUCCCACCACACCCUCGCGUUAUCCAGCACCCACGCCCUCCCCCUCCGCCACGUCACGCCGCCCGGCCACGUGGCACCGCCCCAGUGGCGGCUCACCCCGACUCGGGAUAAGGCUCCCCUCUCCGUUCCGGACCGCAGCUUAAUAACCAACCAACCAUGCGGUGCAGGCAGGCCCGCCGCCAAAAGCUCCCCCGCCCACAAAGCGCGAGCAAUCCACGUCCACGCGCAGCACCACCAGUCCACCACCGUCACCACCAAGCUGGUAGCGCAAAGGCGAUGGCGUCGCUCACCAUGAUGGCGUCCUUCGCCGCCGUGGCGGUGGCCGCGCCCUCGCGCCGCGGCAGCUUCGCCGUGGUCAGGGCCGCCAACAAGGCCGACCACCGCUGCCACCAGCAGGAGGAGCCCGCCAGCGCCAGGCUGGCGGCGGCGGCGGCGGCCGAGGAGCCCGCCGAGGGACGCCGCGCCGUCAUGCUCGCGGCGGCCGCGGCGGCCGUGGCGGCCAUCGGCGGCGCCGGCGCCGCCAUGGCGGACCCCAAGAAAGGGAGCCCCGAGGCGAAGAAGAAGUACGCGCCCAUCUGCGUCACCAUGCCCACCGCCAAGAUCUGCCACAACUGAUCGAGCACGCGCGCGCGCGUUGCAGGGCCGGCCGGGGGGGUGGUAUAUAAAUGUGUGUAUGUGUACGGUGUCGAUCGUACGUCUCUCUUGUUGAUUCGAGCUUUAAUUUAGAUGCAUGCCUGACGACGUGAGGCCGCUUAUUGCUUUGCUGGCGGUCUCGGAGCUGUAAGAAUAUAUCAAGUGCAAUGCAAAUUGAAUUCGGGUGAAUUGAAACCGUGCUUAUAUAUUUUAUCGUAAUAUAAUUUCGUCCAUGCAUGCGUAUAUAUGUGAUCACGUACAUCAGCUAUAUAAUGCGUACUAUGUGCUUAUUUUACCAAUUAAGAUUCAGAUUACCAGAUGAAAAUCUCGCAAAGCGUUGCUGUGAGGGAGACGAGAGCACGAGGUUACUUUUCGUUAUACUCGGCCUGGUCCCAAGUUAAUUAGAUGUACACUGUCUCUUUUAUGGAGAUCAGUUGGCCUCAAAGAAGCCCACCCAAAAAUCCAAAUCGACGAACCGCCUAAGCCCACAUCAGACCCACCGUACCUUGACUAGUGCAUAUUUGGUGAAUGGUCCAUAGUGACUCCCAGAUGAUCCACCAAAUGUGAGGUGUCACAUUCACCGCCCUAGCCCUACCCUCACACAACCAGCACUAGCCCUUCUCCCUUCAUUCUCACUCGCUCUCCCAAAACAACAUAAUAGAGAAAGACAAGAGAGCAAGAAGAUAGUCGCACUAUUAAGAAGGGUACUCUAAGCCUAAGCACCAGAGCUUAGGCUCCAGAGGAGGACACGUGGUGGCAAUCAACGUUGAAGUUUGAAAGGAGAAGCCCUUACUCCGGUGACCCAAUAUGGGGGACACCAAAGUAUACCGGUGGUGUCAAAAACCUUGUGUAGAAACCCAUCGGAUUUCUAUGGUGGUACCCUUGAGUGUCACUGGAGGAAACGACCAACAGAGUUUGUGCACAACGCAUCUUGGCUGCAAGCAACAGUUAGAUUGCCACUUGUCUCAGUGGAGUGCCAGAGAAUGCAUUAGUCCACCUAGUGAUCAUCUAAAUAUAGUUGUUCGAUCUGACAUCGGGGCCAAGCUUGAGGGCUUGUUUAGCUUGCAAAGGAGCGUCAAUCCUUAGACUCACCUCAAAUGGGACGUAUGUUGCCAGCAAGUAACUGAACCUGCUUGGGGAAAAAUAAUUAUCUCCAUUGUCCCCUUUGGUUUGCUUACACCUGCUCUUUUACUUGUGCAAUCCUUGCUUGUAUUGAUGUUUAGCUAGCUUGCAUGUUAGCCUUGGUUGUUAUUGUUGCUAGCUUGUUCUAGUAGCUGUUAUUAGUUCAAGUCGAGUAGCUUGGUUGCUCUACCUUGUUUGACGUGUAGUUCUUGGAAGUAGCCAAGUAGCUCUCUAGCUAGUCCUUGCUCAAGUAGCUGUUUAGCUCGUCCAUGUGCUCUUUGCUAGUAGUUACUAGUUCUUGGUGUGUUUCUUUGGCCCUUUGUUAACUAGACUUGUGUAGGAGCUCUUGCAUUGGUUCUAGGUUGGGCGCAUAAUGCUUAUUAAGGAUUAUAUUUGUAACUAAUAGUGUGCCUAUUUUUUUGCCUUUGAAUGAAACUUUUAUAGGCUAUUCGCCGCUCCCAAUCCUAAGGUCCUUUCAAUAGUGAGGGCAUAUAUGAGGACCCAACAUAGCCUUACAAGUUUAAAGGGCACAACCUCACAAGUUCAAAGGGCCCUGCCUUACAUCUAGCCUAUUUAGAUGGCAUAUAUACCUAACUUAGCUAUUACAAACCAAAAGAUAGCUUAUUACAUCUCUUGCAUCUUGGAGGUUUUUUUAGCUUCAUAGCUAGUGGCUCCUUUUCCACCACCAAUUUAUGAUGCUGAAUAACUACGUACUCAUGGUCCUCAACAGGUCUAUCUCGAGCAAUUUUUAAGCCAAGAUAAGAGUGCUUAGGAGUGAUCUUUGUAAAUCUUUAGGCGUGGUCAUUGGAAAUAUUAGGAAAUCUAAAGUUGUGGUCAUUGGAAAAAUAGGCAGUGCAGUCUGAUGACCCUGGUGAGGCAUGGUGCAUGUGUUGUCUCGAGUUAACUUAAUUUCUCAGCAAUUUUUUCCAACUGCUAGACCUCACCCACGGUGCACAUGUGCGUGUGUCUUAUAGCUCAUUUGGAGCUCUCUCCGAUCAUAGGUAGUUGCACACAUAUUGCAAGGCUUAGAGAAGGGUUUAAGGGCAGUUCAAGCCAAGAUAGGGGUGCUUAGGAGUGAUCUUAGUAUGCAUAGAAAUGUUAUUGGCUUGGAUGUUGAUCCCAAGCGAAGAUCAAUACUUAUUACUAUUGGAGUUUGCUAGCUCCUAGAUGGGCGUGAGGACUAUGUCACCUUCCUAGAAGAGUUGGUUAUCAUAAGGCUCCUAGCUAGCUUUGUGCUUGGCUUGAGACCUAUACCAAUCUAGAGUGGAGAAUAAUUAAUGGGUACUCCUAGUGGAUCUUGAGCCUUGGUGACUCAAGAGAGCUCAGCCGGUGCUCCAACCUAGACUAGAGGGUAGUGGCAACUACUCGAUAUCAUAUAAAAUAGAAACCUAGUUGUCUCUUAUCCACUUUUCUUUCAUGAGCGCUAAUUUCAUUGCUUAACAAUUAUUAUCAUGUUAUGUGCUUGAGAUAUAUAUUGUGUGAAGCUUCUAUUAGAUUUGUUUUUUUUCUUUGUAUGACGACUAUAGCUAGGUUUCACUUGAGCAAUUUUGUAUGAAAUCUAUCUUUGCAUGUGUAGUCCAACUAAGGACAUGACUUAGUGUGAUGGCUUUAAGUACUCACCUUAGUUUGCUGUUAUAGUAUAGUUUUAAGACCGGCUCUUUCUUAGUGGUGAGUAAGUUUUAAUAAUAGGAUAAGAUUUGUUGUUUUAAUUCUGUAGAGCUUCAAUGUACGGCUAUUCGAUCUUUAGGUCUUCCUAGAAGCUGCAUGAUGAGCCAUUUCUCAAUGGUGUAGCUAGGCGAAGUUGUUUAGAAAUUUUCGAGGUGCAAGACUAAGGCCUUGUUUAGAUAAAUCCAAAAUUCCAAAAGUUUACAAGAUUUCCCAUGACAUCGAAUCUUUGGUCGUAUGCAUAGAACAUUAAAUAUAAAUAAAAAAUAACUAAUUGCACAAUUUAUUUGUAAAUCGUGAGACGAAUUUUUUGAGCCUAGUUAGUCCAUGGUUGGACGAUGUUUGUCAAAUAUAUAAAGAAAGUGCUACAAUAUCAAACUUCAAAAAAAAAAAUCUAAACAAGGCCUAAAUAUUGCCUGAUCAGGCGACACGUUGGGCUUCACGAUCGAAUACUUUACUCUCUAGUCACCAAUAAGUGGCGCUCGCCUAACAAUGCAGCCGAAACGAACAUAUAUAUAUAUUCUUCCAGCUAAGCCUUCAAAGUCGCGAGAACAACUGAAAUUUAGAAUGGUUUGGCAAAGUUAGAAAAGCGAGCAUUACUACAAGUUGUCAUGGACUUCCAACAACGCCGGACAAAAAUGUACCUUCUUGCCUGCUUCCUUUGUGCCGCCGCCGCUUCUCUUAGCUUCUUCAUCUUCAAGACUAAGCACUCUGGCUUUCUCGAGAACAAUCUUUCUAGGGCAUUCUCCAGUACCAUUUAAAUCAUUAGAUGCAUGUGUACGUAUAUGCAACUUUUCAAUACCUUUCCUUUCAAAAAAGAAAAAGCCUUUCAUUGCCUUUACGCAUAAUAACGACAGAUGACUGUCUAAUACAUCAUCAUUAUAUAUAUUUUUGAACGAAUUAAAGACCGUGCUUGUUUUUAUUUGAUAUAGAAGAAAUAUAAGAGCAAGUAAGUAACCCUGAGAUGCUACAGAUAUAUAUAUAUAUAUAUAUAUAUAUAUAUAUAUAUAUAUAUAUAUAUAUAUAUAUAUAUAUAUAUAUAUAUAUAUAUAUAUAUAUAUAUAUAUAUAUAUAUAUAUAUAUAUAUAUAUAUAUAUAUAUAUAUACUUGAGCAAGUGCAUCAGAGACUCUGGACAGGCAGAGACGACCAAUGCAACAAACUCGAUGCUAAUUAAUGCUAUUGCAAACUCUAACAGGAUCCCCUCCAAUUCUAAUCGUGCGCAUCGCAUAUACAUAUCGAUCAUUGCCGGCCGGGGCUCGCAUGGUCUGAUAUGGUGGACAUGCAUGCAUGGCCGGCAGGCGUGUGCGCGCUGAACCCUAGCCGGCGUCGGCAUGCUGCGGUGCUGCCUGCCGUCUGCACUCCGCAAGUAUUUUUCUUUUAUUUGAUAAUUAUUGUCUAAUCAUGGAUUAAGUAGGCUCAAAAAAUUCGUCUCGCAAACUACUCUCUAUCCAUGUUUUUAGUUUUGUAAAUAGACUCUCUAACUAUAGUUUUUAGUUUUGUAAGUAGUCUAUAUUUAAUACUUCAUGCAUAUAUCAAAUAUUCGACCUGAGCGUGCCUCGAGCGAUUUGACAAAGAUGCAUGCACACAUCUAGGCGACUAGGCGCGACUGGGCAGGCCAAUCAUUUAUCUCGCUUUAUGUGAUGCCAAUGCCAUAUGCAGAUCGACUGCAUGCAACAGAUACAGAGCCACUGCCAUGCAUCCAGCACGUUCUGGCCAUUACGACUUGCAUGCCCUGGCCUUGCCGUAGCGCUAGCUAGCCUUUAAUUUGUAGAGAGGAUCGGAGGUGCAUGCAGACCAGAUCACCGACCAUACUUAGGGGUUAAGGAUGCAUGUGUACAUGUAUAUGAUAUAUGUAUACAUACAUAUACAAUGCAUGCAUCUGUUUACUGAUCUUUGAUCUUAAACCCCUCUAGCUGUCACUACUGAAUUUAUUUAGUUAUUAACAUUAAAUGUCAUCAGAGAGAAAGUAGCAGAACAAAAAGGGAUGAUGCGACCAAACUGAAAAACAGAUAUGUACAUGCUUGGGACGAUGUAUUCUUCGUCAGCAGAGAGAGAGAGAGAUUAGAAAAGUUGGCCCAUAUUGUAUUGUUUCUUCAUCAGCAUAUAGAAAGAUUAGGAAAAAGCUGGCCCAUUAUUGUAUUGUCAAUUAGUUUAUCUAUAUGCUGAUUACAUAGAGUCUUUGGCCUUCUUCCUGGUGGUUUCGUGGCCGAACUAAAGGUAGAAGAGGACUACUGUUCUUUUGGCCCAACUUCUCGUUGCAGCCCCCAACCUGCAGCUGUACAAUCGCCAGCUGCUUUUGAGGCAGAAUAAAAAUAGCGAGACCACUCUACUGUACUGUGUACGUAUUAAGCUAGCGCCGCCGCCGCGACCUCGAUCUAUUACUAACUGAAGUUGUUAUAGUAUUUUUAUUAGUUAAUUUAAUUUAGAUGGGCGAUCACCCCAAAAAAAAUAAAUUUGGAUACCUCCCUCCCUAAUUAUUUAAUUUAAUUUCUGAUAAUUACUACUCCCUAAUAAUUUUAGAUACAUAGCUUUACUUUACGUAUCUAGACUAUUCUUCAUGUAUAUAUCUAGGUGCAUGCGUAACAAAUUGUCUAUUAAGAAUCUUACAACCUUGGAAUGGAGUGAGAGUUACUUUACUUUAAUCUGCAUCUUUUUUUUACAAAGACACUAAAAAAACUAUCUUGUAUUUAAUUACCUAAGGAAAACAAAGGAUUAGUAUAAAAGAUUGACAAGAUACAGAAUGACCUAUAAAAGAAUAAGAUUAUAUCAAAAAACCAAACUGGUCGUCUUCUUCCUUGGAUCGUUCACUGUAUGUUAGAGCUUGAAGACUAGUCAACUAUUGAUCAAAACCAUGACUAGUUACUUAUUAGGCCCCGUUUGGUUUGCCCUGUUAAAGUUUAUCACCCGUCACAUCGAAUGUUUGGACACAUGUAUGGAGUACUAAAAUAGACUAUUUAUGAAACUAAAAACACAGUUAGAGAGUAAUUUGAGAGACAAAUCUUUUAAGUCUAAUUAGUCUAUGAUUGAAUAUUAAUUGUCAAAUAAGACGAAACUGCUACAGUGCCUAUUAAACUUUAACACUCCAAACCAAACAACCUCUUAUAUUGGUCCCCUUUUAUAUCAGGAGAGAAAAAAAUGAGACAGAGAAAUGGAAUUUCACUGGUCCUCUCUCGUAUAUGUAGCCUCGUUCAUAUGGAUGAAAGCUAAGCUAGCACAUCUGAACUUUCAUAUUGGAAUAUAUUUUGGGAUGUAGAGAUCAAUUCCAACUUGGUGCCCCGGCCCAAACAAAAAGAUGGUGGUCACUAAAUGAUUACAAUCCCGGAGUAGAUUCUCCAUUUAUUUGUGUGUCCCUUUUUGCUGCUUGCAAACGUGAUGACAGCUACAAGAAAAUUAAACUUAUACUAUUAAUUAUUGGAUAAUCACACACUGAAUAUAUAUGUGGGCAAGUAGUGUGAAUGAUUUAUAUGUCAGUGCCACAUACAGGACCACGUACGGGUCGGGAUUGGAAUAAUGCAAAUGCAAUGUAUGCAUCAAAUAUAGUAAUGGAUAUUGUUAUCUUGGGAAUAAUAUUGUUUGUAGCUUAGGACCGGCCGAGAUGGAUCGCUAGCUCUAAGAGACUAAUUAAGACACACAGCAGGGCAAAGCCAAAGGGAACUGAAACAGCUUGCAGUAACCUUAAACAAGAGCUAGUAGCUAGCUGCAUGCGAAAGGUACAGAUUCGAAGACAAUUAACCUAAGCCAAAGGCACACACCCGGUUUGAGUUUUGACCUGUUGCCUUUCCACAGCAAACUAGCUGCGGCCGGCAAAGUAGCUUUUUUUGCAAAUGCGCGUUUGCGUAGCUGCUCUUUCCUCAAAAAGUGAAAUUUUUUUCAGUUUAUCUCGUGAUAAUUGAAAAUUGCAUAUGCAGAGGAUCGGAUCGAUGCACCCAAAAAUGAACAAGGAUAUAUAUAUAUACCGUACGUGUAUUACGCAUGCAUGCGCGCAUGACAACAAACUAGCUAGCUAUAUAAACAAGAAAGCUAGCGCAUGCACGAGAUAUUUUGCUGGAUAUUUUUUCAGAACACACACGGCUUUAUUUGGCAUAUAUAGAACGACGAUGAUAUAGAAAAAUAAAGCAGAGCUAAUUAUAGUUGUUCUUGUACGUGAGAGAGAGAGAGAGAGAGAGAACGAUUGGCGGCGAAUUAUGUUCCAAGGAGGACCAAAAGCAAGAUGUGUGCAGCAGAAGCAGCUUCGUUCUCGAUCGAUCGCUUGCAUAUGAUAUGAUGCAUUCUGCAUGCUUUCCCAGUUUCCGUCCCUCUCUCUUUUCCGAUGUCCGUCGUCCCUCUCUCUCUCUAUAGCGGCUAGAGCUAGCUAGGGUCUCUGGAGCAGCACAAAAGCAGAGGCCUGGAAACCACGCGCGCGCCCCGGCGAGCGGCUCUAGCUAGCUUUUUGCGUUGCGCGCUCCGGCCGGGGGCCGGCCCGGUUAAGUUUCCCCCCUCCAUCAAUCGUAUCAUCGAUCUCCCUAGCUGCUGCACUGCUGCAGAAGAUGCUAUGUACUCAAUCCAUCCCAAAUUAUAAGUCGUUUGACUUUUUUAAUAUCAAGUUUGACCACUGGUCUUAUUCAAAUUUUUAUAUAAAAUAUUACUUUUUUUUGUUGUGUAUUGGUUUAUUAAUAAAAGUUCUUCAAGAAUGACUUAAAUUUGACUAUAUUUGCACAAAUUUUUUUGAAUAAGACGAGUGGUCAAACUUGAGGUAAAAAAAGUCAAACGACUUACAAUUUGGUAUGGAGGGAGUACGUACGUAGAACACGCGCUUUAGCAUCAUUUCACACAUCGCGCGAUCUUGGCCGUCCACUCCCCCGCGAUCCACGACCCCCCGUACCGUACUCCCUCCAUCAUCACCUUAUUAAUUUAGUUGAUUAUUAUUUAUUAGAAGAACCCUAGCUAGCCAGCUUGCAUCCACCAAGGCACCAACAAGCUAGCAGCCAUGGUCGUCCCCUCCUAUAAAUCCAGGUGCCCCCCGGCCCUCUCCCCUCACCACCAUUAAGCAGGCCACCACAGUCGUCCUUGAUCCAUCGUCCAAGCAAUCUUCUGCAAGGUAACUAAACGAUCGAAGGAGAAGAAGAAGACCAGAGCUUCUUCGUUCCGGCCAGCCACACGCAGCUAGCCGGCGGCGCCAUGGGAGGCAAGUCGUCGUUCUUCUGCCCCAUCUUCAGCUUCCUGCGCAAGUCGAGGCGGUACGACGACGACAUGAGCGACUGGGACGGCCGCACCGGCUACGUGCGCAAGGUGCGCUCCAGCGACGAGGACUACGGCGGAUGGUGGGUCGGCGAGCGCGACGUCGACCGAAAGGCCUCCGACUUCAUCAACAACUUCCACCAGAAGAAGGUCACCGUCUAGCUGCCACUUCUUCCGCUUCCAUCCCCCGCAUAUAUAUGGUCGUCGUCGUCGCCGCCGACACCGACGACGAACUGCGACGACCACAUCGACGAUGACGACGCCACCACCGGCCGGCCGGUCCACUCCUCAUGCAUGCAGCUACGUACGUUUCAUUUGUUAGGUUCCUUGAUAUUCUUAUAUGUUAAUGUAUGUUGAUUAUAUUAGUUCAUCUCGUUUGUGAUGUUAUUAUAUAUAUAUGUUGUGCUCAUUUAAUCAGAGAGAGAGAGAGAGAGAGAGAGAGAGAGGAUGAAUAAUUCGAUCUGCUGGACAGAGACCAAGAUCGAUGUCGUUUAAUUUGUUUGUAAGCGUUGUAUGUGUAUAUAUGUAUGUGUGUGUGAAGGCAUGCAUACGUGUACGCACGAUGCGAUGUAUGUGUUGUCCAUCACACAUCAUUCACAUGUACAUCAGUUAACGUUAAUUAUCACCAAAUAAAUAAUGUAUAUGUAUGAUCGAUCUUGUUAUAUAUCAUAGCAGACAUGCACCUAUAUAUACGUAAGGCUAUAUACCUACAACAAUUUCUUCGUUUUGGACUUGCAUAUAUAAAAGCAGCACUCCUCCAGUCCUCCUUGAUUAGCAUAUGUGCUCCGUG
Molecule: long non-coding RNA, 29222 nt
Filed under: Sorghum bicolor (sorghum)
Lineage: Eukaryota; Viridiplantae; Streptophyta; Magnoliopsida; Poales; Poaceae
Description: long non-coding RNA (SBIC_LNC007260)
Source: RNAcentral